CGAAUAUUAUAAAUAUUAUUAUAAUUAAAAAUUAAAUUACAUAUAUACUACCCGACACUUCAUUGUGCAUUGUAAUUGUACGCAUAUACAUAUACCAAAAAAGACAAAAGUAUUAAGUGCCUUGUAACUGCUCCUUGAUCGACACCAUCCUUGAACCAUUGUUUAAGUGGCUUGUCCCUGCAAGACAAAAUGAAUAUAUAUAAGGAACAUAAUGAGAUUUGUUAUAUCUAAUUACUAUCAAAAUUCUAAGAAUUUUCAAUCCAUGUCAAAGGAAAGCCGAAAAUUGCGACCAAAGUUUGUGUUCUAAAAAGCAACUUAACAAUUGCAAAAGUUGUCUGGAGAACACAAUUAGCAAGGGCCAAGAGAGACACCCAUCAAGGAUCGUUCCAACAGUUCGUAUUUAACAAGAGAAAUUUGGCUGUUGAAUGCUAACAAUAAAAAAGACACUAGGUGUAAGAGGAGACCAGUUUGUUUGUGUCCCUCUUCUCAGCCUUCUUUUGUUUAGAAUUGCGCAACUUAUGCCACACUGAAAAUAUUGCAGGUGCAUCCCGAUGAACACGUUCUGCUUUCUAUGAAGAAUUAAAAGGAAAUAUUCCCCAGUAAUCAACUUGUAUAGCCAAGAGAAACAUUCCACUUGAAGACAAGGUCAACAUUGGGUCAAGUCUAGAAUUGCAGAACAAUAUGAAAGAUUAGAAUCCAGUAAGAUAAGCCCAACACUACACUGAAAGUCCUUAUAGGCCACACAAAACCAAGAAUGUAGGUUAAAACAUCUCAUUGAGGUACAAUGGGAGAGUAAGAAGUAAUCUAAAACCUUUAUCUAAGCUUAGAAGAUAAGUAGUGGAGCAUUUAUUUUAUCGAACUCUAGUUCUACCGCAUUGGCUAUUGAACUUGAUAUGACAACUACAUAUUAUUUUACUGAUACUACAAUAGGAAAAGGGAGGACUGUUCUUCAUACUUCUCCCUGAUACAUGAUUUCUAAGUGGAAGAGCAAGUAUUCAAUCAAGUUAACACGAAGUUUGUGCUAUAUUCAUGUUUCUCAAACAAGUUAUAAAUCACAUUGGCAACAUUGAAUUAAACAUUUACUUAAGGUCCUAAAUCAUGAUUUCUAAGCGAAUAUGCAAAGUUGAGGGUCCUGUAGGCAUAGGAGAACCCAAAUACCAAACCUAAAUUCUCUCAGAGACCUGAAUAUGCAUUUCUUUUACUAGGAAAGCAAGAGGAGAGGACUAUCAAAAUCAAAACAGAUAUUCAAAUAAAUACAUGUGCAAUGAUGAAGCUACAUAAUAAGAUUUCCCAUAAAAGUCUACUUAUAAUAUCACUAACAUACUACAACAAACAACAUCACACCCCAAAGCCAAAACUCUACUUCAAUAUCAUUAACAUAUAAAGCAAAAUAACAUGUAAACAAAGCCUCUACAACCUAUUUGGGAGGACAAAGCAAGAAAGAGAAAUCUCAUUAUGUAGUACCAAAGUCAGUCACUUUCUUUUAAAAAUAUCUCUACUUUUUACAAAUGAAGGCAACAUGGUAUUUACAUACUAAAAAUUUAUGAGCAAUCAAUCCUCAAUUGAAGAAGAUAGCAAUAAGAAGUCCUUAUUCUCACUCUAGUAGAACAAUAGGAGAAACUAUUUUGUCUACCCAUUAUUAUUAUUAUCAAAAGCCUAAAGGAAAUUGGUGACGAUCUAUGUUAUCUGGGCAAGCUCUAAUUUAAUCAAGGGCACAUACACAAUAGGACAUUUGUAUCAUAACUUACAAAGAAGCUAAGAUCUUAAACAACAUCGUAAUAUAUGAUACUUGAGAGGUAGAUGAGUAUAUGGAUAAGAGCAGGACAACCUUUAACUUGUUAGCCUUAUAAAAAUCUCAACAGAAAGUUCCUAUAACAUGGAGGGGUACGUAGAAUACAUAAGUCAAGGCAAAUACACACACCAAAUAGAAGUUCAUACAUGGGAGUCUUAACAUGAAACAUCUAAGAUAGACCAUGGAAGGUUACGCAGUACCAUCUAGAACUGCUAUAGAAAAGCAAACAAGGUAGCAAACCAUCUCGCAGCUCUAAGUCACACACCACAGACUACUAAGGUCUACACCAACUUUACUAAUAUCCCUACACAUGUGAGAGGUCUAAUAAACAUGGACAAAGGGAUAGUUCCAAAUUUCAGAAUAAGG
RNAcentral lists this long non-coding RNA (2158 nucleotides) under Nicotiana tabacum (common tobacco). RNAcentral describes it as "long non-coding RNA (NTAB_LNC012493)". Lineage: Eukaryota; Viridiplantae; Streptophyta; Magnoliopsida; Solanales; Solanaceae. The record is from RNAcentral.